This is a long non-coding RNA of Dermacentor albipictus, 1327 nucleotides long. RefSeq lists it as uncharacterized. Lineage: Eukaryota; Metazoa; Arthropoda; Arachnida; Ixodida; Ixodidae. The record is from RefSeq and is a predicted model, not a curated record.
GCCCGCCACCAUUGUGUGCAGCAACUAGGCUUCUUGAUCGUCCCGCAGUGCUGUAUCGCAAGAAUCCGGCGAGGUUUUGGAACGCGCCCAGUGGGAAGAACUUCUUUAACACCGAACUACUACUGUCAACACCAAGCCAUCCUGUUUCGACGACUCGCGUCAGUCGUAAUGCACCGGCCUCAAUCUGAUGCCAUCGCACUGCACCAGAGUUAUAACACGACUGGCCACGGAUCUCAGCACGCAGCUCCGCAAGACGACCGGAGUGGCCGCGCUCAGAGACCAGCAACCGUGUGGGAACGAAUCUCAAAGUACUCGCGGGUGCACGAAACACGGCAGGUAUACAUAUCGGGAUCUUUCGUUCUGGCGGCUGCCACACGGCGCAGUUCUCUCUGCCCAGCGACGAUUGCCCGCGAGCCUUUGUCAACGGGACAGCGGACAGCGGAGAGCUGCGCAGAAGGAGCGACCCUUGUCAUUCUGGUCGUGGAUCCCCCGGGGCUUCCACGACAUCACUUCUCGCUCCACUUGACUUCUCCAAGACGAUCAUUGACAGGGGACGGAACGAGCCGGGAGCUGCCGCCGCGUGUUGUGACCCCGGGCGAUGCCUCCGCCGGCCCCGGGUUCUCGAAGCCUCCGCCCACCGCCUGAUCCUCGCGGGAACACUGCGCAGCGCAACCGCGUCUCCAGCUGUGUGGCAUGGCGCAAGGGCGACGUGUCUCGUCUUGAGUUCACCCACAGCUUUUGCGUGGCUGGCUUGGCGCGCAGGGUCGACGAGCCCGCAGUCGUCGCCUUCCUCGCGUUGCCCCUUCGCGCGGCCAGCCCCACAAGUACGGGUGUUUCCCUCAACGAGGACCAUGGCAGAGUAAUGGUCCCGGAGUAAUUUCUCGUAGCUCUCAAGUAGUACGAGGUCGUCCUGGCAAAUAUUGUGGAGGUUAUAGGCUUCCAUAAAAUCGGGUCGCCGAAGGCUGGCUCGGAAGCCAGGAUGCUCCCGCGAAAUUUUGCCGACGGCGUGCCCCUCUAAGCACUGGCGGAUAACGAAGCGAGCUGGUGGCGUGGAGUUUUCACCUUUGCUUGUUUCCGUGCAGUCAUGUGGCAACUCGAUUGGAGCUUCAUCUUUAUUAGCGUGGGAUCUUGUUUUUUCUUGCUUUUGUAAAAAUAUAAUUCCGUAUAUGCUAUAUUCGUUGAUUGGCUGGAAUUUUUCUUUUUACUCAGCGUUGUUACUUUCUUAUUGGAAUUCACGCAGUCGAGUCAUGCCGUCAUAUAUGUAGCGCACAAUAAACAAAGGAAAAGGAAAAAAAGGCUCGCACAUUACGCUUGCUCCGACACCGUA